This 253-nucleotide ribosomal RNA is filed under the name uncultured bacterium. RNAcentral's name for it is "partial 16S ribosomal RNA". It matches the Rfam family "Bacterial small subunit ribosomal RNA", at positions 524 to 776 of the family's 1533-position model. The record is from RNAcentral.
UACGAAGGUGGCAAGCGUUGUUCGGAUUUACUGGGCGUACAGGGAGCGUAGGCGGUUGGGUAAGCCCUUCGGGAAAUCUCCGGGCCUAACCCGGAAAGUGCGGAGGGGACUGCUCGGCUAGAGGAUGGGAGAGGAGCGCGGAAUUCCCGGUGUAGCGGUGAAAUGCGUAGAGAUCGGGAGGAAGGCCGGUGGCGAAGGCGGCGCUCUGGAACAUUUCUGACGCUGAGGCUCGAAAGCGUGGGGAGCAAACAGG